ACAGUGCAAAACAAAAUUAAAACUACCAUUACAAACCUAGGAAGUUCAGAAGAUCUUAAACCACGUGCAAUAAAAUAUUCUUGCAGACUAAAACAGAACAGCUCAGUAACGUUCCUAUUUCUUUAACAGUUGCACACAAUUUGAUUCAAAUUAUUCAAAUUGAAACAGGUGACGAGGGUCCGCCGCACCACCUGGCGGACUUAUUAAGUAUCAACAAAAACCGAUCAAGUUGAAGUUAAAAUAUAACUGUUAUGGAUGGAUGUAAAAAUAAUCUUGAAGCAGGAAAAUCGUAAAUUUUUUUAUAAAGACGGAUAUGUGAAGCCGACUAUCUAGUCGAAAAAUUUAACCGAAAACGUUAUCCGAAAACGUCAACAAUAGAAAAACAUGGCGACUCUAUUUUCUGCAGCUGGAUCUAAAAAUCAAAAGUCAUAAAUUGACUUAAUCAGUAAGUACAAUGGACAAUAUGGAAAAUAUUAAGAUAUUUUCUGCUGAUCAAUAAAAAAACACAAGACGAAUUUAUAUGAACAAAAUACCUCACAAUAAAAUUGUGAAAACGUCGGUAAUUCCACUUGUCUCAAAAAUCUGUUUCUCGGGAUUUCUUUGUAUAUUGGAGCAAGGCUGGGAGGAAGGGAAGACCCCAACUACGCACUUGUGUCGUAGUAUAAAAAGCCAGCCUGCUUGAGUCGUUGCUUGUUAGUCUACGUUCGCCGUCACAAUUACCCAAUCUUUAAUAUCAGUCUAUUUCAGACUUUGUAAUAAUUAUCAUGUCAGAGACUCAUUUCGACGAGUUCGAGCAUUACAAUUUCUCCGAGGACAACAAACUUUACUCGAAUCACAGCGGCCGUCUGCGCACAAAGAAGGAGGCCGAGCAACACACCAACCGAUUCGAUCCUAAUGGACACACUCGUAAGAUAGAAACCAAGUUGCAAAAUACUGA
Molecule: long non-coding RNA, 937 nt
Organism: Daphnia pulex (common water flea)
Lineage: Eukaryota; Metazoa; Arthropoda; Branchiopoda; Diplostraca; Daphniidae
Exons: 3
Source: RefSeq, a predicted model, not a curated record